UACGUAGGGUGCAAGCGUUAAUCGGAAUUACUGGGCGUAAAGCGCACGUAGGCGGCUAUUCAAGUCGGGGGUGAAAGCCCGGGGCUCAACCCCGGAACUGCCCUCGAAACUAGGUAGCUAGAAUCUUGGAGAGGUCAGUGGAAUUCCGAGUGUAGAGGUGAAAUUCGUAGAUAUUCGGAAGAACACCAGUGGCGAAGGCGACUGACUGGACAAGUAUUGACGCUGAGGUGCGAAAGCGUGGGGGAGCAA
RNAcentral lists this ribosomal RNA (249 nucleotides) under uncultured bacterium. RNAcentral's name for it is "partial 16S ribosomal RNA". It matches the Rfam family "Bacterial small subunit ribosomal RNA", at positions 524 to 771 of the family's 1533-position model. The record is from RNAcentral.